CCUACGGGAGGCAGCAGUGGGGAAUAUUGGGCAAUGGGCGCAAGCCUGACCCAGCAACGCCGCGUGAAGGAAGAAGGCUCUCGGGUUGUAAACUUCUUUUAUCAGGGACGAAGCAAGUGACGGUACCUGAUGAAUAAGCCACGGCUAACUACGUGCCAGCAGCCGCGGUAAUACGUAGGUGGCAAGCGUUAACCGGAUUUACUGGGAGUAAAGGGCGUGUAGGCGGGAAAGCAAGUCAGAUGUGAAAACCAUGGGCUCAACCUGUGGCCUGCAUUUGAAACUGUUUUUCUUGAGUACUGGAGAGGCAGACGGAAGUCCUAGUGUAGCGGUGAAAUGCGUAGAUAUUAGGAGGAACACCAGUGGCGAAGGCGGUCUGCUGGACAGCAACUGACGCUGAGGCGCAAAAGCGUGGGGAGCAAACAGGAUUAGAUACCCGAGUAGUC
RNAcentral lists this ribosomal RNA (443 nucleotides) under uncultured bacterium. Its description in RNAcentral is "partial 16S ribosomal RNA". It matches the Rfam family "Bacterial small subunit ribosomal RNA", at positions 338 to 795 of the family's 1533-position model. The record is from RNAcentral.